RNAcentral lists this ribosomal RNA (297 nucleotides) under uncultured bacterium. Its description in RNAcentral is "partial 16S ribosomal RNA". It matches the Rfam family "Bacterial small subunit ribosomal RNA", at positions 475 to 776 of the family's 1533-position model. The record is from RNAcentral.
CUAUGCGCCUUGCCAGCCGCUCAGGUGUGCCAGCCGCGCGGUAAUACGUAGGUGGCAAGCGUUGUCCGGAUUUAUUGGGCGUAAAGCGAGUGCAGGCGGCUCAAUAAGUCUGAUGUGAAAGCCUUCGGCUCAACCGGAGAAUUGCAUCAGAAACUGUUGAACUUGAGUGCAGAAGAGGAGAGUGGAACUCCAUGUGUAGCGGUGGAAUGCGUAGAUAUAUGGAAGAACACCAGUGGCGAAGGCGGCUCUCUGGUCUGCAACUGACGCUGAGGCUCGAAAGCAUGGGUAGCGAACAGG